RNAcentral lists this ribosomal RNA (868 nucleotides) under Salmonella enterica. RNAcentral's name for it is "partial 23S ribosomal RNA". It matches the Rfam family "Bacterial large subunit ribosomal RNA", at positions 99 to 961 of the family's 2925-position model. The record is from RNAcentral. Lineage: Bacteria; Pseudomonadati; Pseudomonadota; Gammaproteobacteria; Enterobacterales; Enterobacteriaceae.
UUGAUCCAGAGAUUUCCGAAUGGGGGAACCCACUAUCUUUAGUCGGAUAGUAUCCUUACGUGAAUACAUAGCGUGAGGAAGGCAGACCCAGGGAACUGAAACAUCUAAGUACCUGGAGGAAGAGAAAGAAAAAUCGAUUUCCUGAGUAGCGGCGAGCGAAACGGAAAGAGCCCAAACCAAGAAGCUUGCUUCUUGGGGUUGUAGGACACUCUAUACGGAGUUACAAAAGAAAGUUAUAAAUGAAGCGGUCUGGAAAGGCCCGCCAAAGACGGUAACAGCCCGGUAGUUGAAAUGGCUUUCCCUCCAGAGUGGAUCCUGAGUACGGCGGAACACGUGAAAUUCCGUCGGAAUCCGGGAGGACCAUCUCCCAAGGCUAAAUACUCCCUAGUGACCGAUAGUGAACCAGUACCGUGAGGGAAAGGUGAAAAGCACCCCGGAAGGGGAGUGAAACAGUUCCUGAAACCGUGUGCCUACAAGUAGUUAGAGCCCGUUAAUGGGUGAUAGCGUGCCUUUUGUAGAAUGAACCGGCGAGUUACGAUUUGUUGCAAGGUUAAGCGGAAAAAGCGGAGCCGUAGCGAAAGCGAGUCUGAAUAGGGCGCAUAAGUAACAGGUCGUAGACCCGAAACCAGGUGAUCUACCCAUGUCCAGGAUGAAGGUAAGGUAAUACUUACUGGAGGUCCGAACCCACGCACGUUGAAAAGUGCGGGGAUGAGGUGUGGGUAGCGGAGAAAUUCCAAUCGAACUUGGAGAUAGCUGGUUCUCUCCGAAAUAGCUUUAGGGCUAGCCUCGAGGUAAAGAGUCAUGGAGGUAGAGCACUGUUUGGACUAGGGGCCCUUCUCGGGUUACCGAAUUCAGAUAAACUCCGAAU